RNA transcript from Dendroctonus ponderosae (mountain pine beetle), 4800 nucleotides. It is a transcript of the gene named anoctamin-8, with no coding region annotated. The record is from RefSeq and is a predicted model, not a curated record. The transcript is spliced from 21 exons. Lineage: Eukaryota; Metazoa; Arthropoda; Insecta; Coleoptera; Curculionidae.
ACAUAUGGAAGUCUCGAAAGAAUUUUCAUUAAAAUGGCUAGACAAAUACGGUGUUACAAAAAUGAUUGGCUCUAAUUAAGUCAAAUUAUUGAACAAUUACAUUAAACAAACACACAUUAACAGUAGGCCAUUCACCCUACUAAUUAAUGUAAAAGAACAUAUUGGGAACGAUUUGUAACAAUCGUAAAUGAGCCAUUAGCGCAUCCACCUUAUACAUAAUAUAUUUAAGGGUAGUUUUUGCCCGUAGCAGCUGAUUUUGACAAACGCCACCAGGGUAAAAUGGCUGAAUAGGGGAAAGUGAAAGGGUCCGUGAAUGUAUUAAAAAAUUACGAUUUAACUCGGGUUUAAUUAAGGAACCUUCUGCCACGCAGUAGGAAAACCGUGGUGGUGACGGUGAAAAAUGUCGGAGCUCAAUCAGGAAAAUGCAGAUUCAAGCGAAUUAAUAGAAACUAUGGGCACGAUUCGCCGGAGAAAAUUGGUAAAAUGUGCUAAAGAAACCCUUGGUCAAGCUUCCGAGCUACUGAAGAAAAAAAUUCCUUGCGCCGGUCAUUUCCUGGCGCCGAAACGACUUUGGCUGAAACGCGUCUCAACCCCUAAUUGCGACUUGGUUGUCUGUUUCCCACCUGGGACAGACGAUCAGUUCCUUCUAUGGCUUCUACCCAAGUUGAAACAAUCUACUGGCUUGACCAUCCAUGUUCGAUACCAUGCUUCUACCCAGAGCAGUGCUUUUUAUGUAACCGCAUCGAAUCAAGUGCUGCUCCACGCAGCAGAAGAAUAUCAUCUGUCGAAAGCUCUUAAGCCAUCAAAAGGUGGGGGUUUGAAGGAGUUCUUCGUCCAAGAGCAGGAUUUUUAUGAAGGGUCCGAGUCUGCAGAGCAUUUUUUUACCACUGAAGAAAGACAGUGGCUCGUUUUGAGAGUGCUUGAGAGUGUCAGAGCGAAGAAAGAGGAACUGCGCGUUAUUCCAAGCGUUACAUUGCUGGAAGGUCAGCCGAUAGUGCCAAAGUUUUUGACUAGUGGGGUAAUAUCGCAGGUUUUUCCAAUUCAUGAGCCGCCCGCGCUUGAGCGGCUACAGCAGACUUGGGUUCAAGACAUUUUCGCUAAACAACCUCUUGAUGAAAUUACCGAAUACUUUGGAGUUAAAAUUGGAAUGUACUUCGCAUGGCUGGGACAUUAUACUACAGCGUUGAGCAUUCCUGCUGUAGUGGGAUUCAUAUUUUGGUUGACUUGUACAAGUAAACAUCAGACUAUCCAAGACGUUGGUUAUGUGGUAUUUUCAAUAUUCAACGUGGUUUGGGUGACAACGUAUCUUCAAGCCUGGAAAAGAUAUUCCGCAGAGCUGGCCUUUAGAUGGGGCACGUUAGAUCAAAGGGACGAUCUACUAGCGGAGCCGAGACCGUUGUUUAGACUACCGCGGCAUGUUAUUAUUUGUCAUCAGGGUCCACUAAGGCCCAGUCCUGUAACAGGGAGGCUCGAACCUUACCAUCCGGUAUGGAGGAGGCACAUUUUCCGUUAUUGCGUUUCCGUGCCAGUAAUCAUCGUCUCCCUCCUCACGGUGUUUCUUGUCAUGAUUGUUUCGUUACAAAUUCAGGAUUGGUGGGAUGCAUUUUUGGCUAAUCGAGGGUUUCCUCUUUGGCUGGGAUAUAUCCCGAAGGUUAUGCUAGCUGUGGUAAUUUGGUUGAUGGACGAGGCAUACUUUAAAAUCGCCAUCUGGCUGAACGACAAAGAGAAUUAUCGACUAGAAACGAAAUACGAAAAUCACCUAAUCGGCAAAGUUGCCCUGUUCCAGUUCGUCAACUCUUUCCUGUCUUUAUUUUAUAUUGCAUUUUAUCUACAGGAUCAAGAACGGCUCAAGGAACAAUUAGCCGCGUUACUAAUUUCCAGGCAAGUGCUAGGAAAUUUAAAAGAAUCCGCACUACCUUAUGUGCUUGUGCACUUGAGAUUGGCCAAAAUGAGCUUUGAAAUGUGGGGCGCUUUAAGUCCUUUGAACACAAAACCACCGCCUGGCGAAGGUGUGGCUGAAGAGCAUACCGAAACACCAACCGAAGAAAAGAAUACCGAUAGUCCGCCAGUGGCCAAAAGGAGCAUGAGCCAAGCAGAACUAGAAAGUUCUUUAUAUAAAUACGAUGGAACUUUCGCAGAUUAUCUUGAAAUGACCAUUCAAUUGGGGUAUGUAAUACUGUUUUCAUCAGCUUUUCCUCCGGCUGCUAUUUGUGCAAUGUUAAAUAACUUGGUGGAAAUUCGAAGCGAUGCUUUUAGGCUCGGUUAUGUGUGCCAAAGGCCUUUCGGGCAAAGGGUUCCUAAUAUUGGAACAUGGCAGAACUGUAUGGAAUAUAUGAGCACUAUGGCCGUCUUGGUAAAUUGCGCUCUUAUAGGUUUAUCUGGCCAAGUACACCGAAUGUUCCCCGAUAUGACGGCAACUCAAACCAUUCUACUAAUCGUGGCAUUAGAGCACAUUAUGUUCAUCAUACGAUUCAUUAUAACAUGCGCGAUUCCUGAUAUUCCCGGAUGGUUGGCCACUGAAAUGGCAAAAAUCGAAUGGGCGCGAAGAAAUUCCAUCCGAGUCGGCAAUACAGCAACUCCUUCUCCAGAAGAAGUACAAUCGAAAACUAUUGGAAGAUUUUCCGUAUCUCCGAGCCACAACCUCGUGCACUCAACGCAGUUUAAAAAAUCUGCAGAAAAAAUCUGCCCGGACGCAACGGAAGCAAAAAAAAGCAUAUCAUCUCACGUAUCGCCCAUGCCAUCUCCAAGCACGCCCACAAAUUCGCAAAGUUCCAUCACAUCCCUGCAUAGAACUCCCCUAGGCAUUACUGCGGAUAGCAUUCAACAAAUCCCACCGUUUAGGCCCAGAAAAUCCAAAGAAUGGGCUCCACCAGAAGUGGUAGGUGAACCAAGCCAUCAUCUCACCAUAGGGCCCAGCGGAGGAGUUGAAUGGGCGCGCAAAUUGAAAGAGGAAACCGACAUUCAUCGAAGCACUGACUGCAUAUCGCCUAAGGAUUCCUCAAGUUCAGAUACAGAGCUACAUCGAACUAGCCCCUUAUGGCCUCCAAGGCCCCGAUCUCCGCCUGAACAUACAGGACCCAGAAUUCGAGCCCCAAUUAUUCCCAUAGAUCCUUCACUGAGCGACAGUGCCAGAAGCAUUUCCAGCCAAGAAGCUGACGAAGCCGCAAAAGCUGCUGAAGAAUUAGCAGCUAAGAAAACGCGAGUGAAACAGAGUCUAAUGAAGAGGGCUAGAUCAGUGGCAAUUUUCUCGUUGAAGCUAAAAGAACGAAGAGCUAGAGAAGCACAAGAAAAAUCCGCAAAGGCUCCGGUAACUCCUUCCACUCCGUUACCGCCACCGCAGUGUGGCGGUGGAGAAUUGUCGUGCAUUCCCAUCGAAAAGCUGAUUCAGUUAGAAGAUGUGAGAAGGAGUGUGCAGUCCAAGCCAAAUGGCCAACACGGCACUUUGUAGCUCUAUGCGACAAGUAUUUUCAUUGUGAAAUUUUAAAUAGGCGUUAUUGAGUCUGAUUUGUAUAGAUGUAGCAGUCUGCUUUAAUUAUAAGGUACAAACCCUGCAAGUACCACGCAAAGAAAAUAUAUAUUGUUGAGAAGACAUGUGAAAUAGUAAUGUCUUACUGGUUGAAGCCUAGAAAACAUGUAAUGGUGUUCUGAUGAAACACAUUUGUUACGAGCGCAAUAUACGUACGAAUAAGCAGAAUAUAAAACGAUGUUGAUAGUUCCAUAAGAUUGUUUUAAAUUAUUUUUUAUAAUACUAGCGUGUACUUUAAAAUCACAGUAAUCAUAAGACUAAUUGGAGUAGUUUAGACAAAGCAAUAUGUAGAGAAUAAAGGGUCAUGAGUUCUAACUGAGAUGUAGGUUGGUAUUCAGGUUUAGAUUUAUUUGGGGAAAAGUAAGACACUUUUCCUCAGAUAAAUCAACACUGGAAGUUUUUAGGCGACACUGAAAAGAACAAAAAACCCAAACUUAUUUUCAAGUCUCAACUUGAAAGUUGCAAAUUAACAAAACGAAAUGUAUUUUUAUGCGCCAUUGUUCUAUUGAUAGUGCUUUAUAGAAUUAAAGUAAAAUUCGAGCUUUAUAAACAAAACAUCCAUUAGAUUGCCACCCAUUUUUAUUUGCCUGUGUGAUAUUCGUCCAAGAAAUAUUUUAACAUUGUUCAGCUACGUAUCUUAAUAUAGUAUUACUUAUAAGACUGCAAAAGUAUUUUUUGAUAUUGUUUUUUUUACUUUUUAGAAUUUUUAAUCGCAAUUUCCACUCAUUUACUUAACUGAAUUAAGCUGCUAUUUAUCCAGUUUAAGGACAUUUAUAUUUUAGUGGAACGUAGACUGAAGAGCUUUCUAUUUCUACCUUGAAUGUAAGCUUUCUUUAAGUAGCACAACAUUUACAUAUGCACUUAUACAAUUUAGUGUGUACAAAGCUGAUGAACUGCUUAAAAUCAAACGUAUCAAUCAAUGCACUAGUAUUAGGUCAAAGCUUAUAUAUUCAAAGGCCUCUUUGGCUUAGUCUUACUGACAACAAUUUUUAUAACUAUUACACAAACAACUGCAAAGUGGGCAAAGUCGACAGCAAACAUUUCUGUGGCAAAAAAAAUUAGAUCUAAAAAAUGCUUAACGAUUAUGUCAAUUAAACCUUCCAACAAAUGAGUGGAAAUUCUGUAGUCCCCAAAAAAAUACAAUAAAUCAUUUGUAAUCAUUGUUAAGUAUUACUCGUAUUGUUAAACAUUGUGGCUAUUGUGAAAUAGAUGUCUCAUAAGUGUUAAGCUUGUUAAUAUUGUAUUUAUAAAUAAAAAUACGAUACAUAUACUAA